CAGUCGCCGCGGGAAUACGAAGGGGGCUAGCGUUGUUCGGAUUUACUGGGCGUAAAGGGCGCGUAGGCGGGCGAAUAAGUCAGGGGUGAAAUCCCAAGGCUCAACCUUGGAACUGCCUUUGAUACUGUUUGUCUUGAGUCCGGGAGAGGUGAGUGGAACUGCGAGUGUAGAGGUGAAAUUCGUAGAUAUUCGCAAGAACACCAGUGGCGAAGGCGGCUCACUGGCCCGGAACUGACGCUGAGGCACGAAAGCGUGGGGAGCAAACAGGAUUAGAUACCCCGGUAGUCCCUGUCUCUUAUAC
Molecule: ribosomal RNA, 301 nt
Filed under: uncultured bacterium
Lineage: Bacteria
Description: partial 16S ribosomal RNA
Rfam family: Bacterial small subunit ribosomal RNA
Source: RNAcentral